ACGUCGUCGUUCCCACCUGGCUAUUAACUUAUCACCAGAUGAUUAUGACGACG
This 53-nucleotide microRNA precursor is filed under the name Ciona intestinalis (vase tunicate). RNAcentral describes it as "microRNA cin-mir-4140 precursor". The record is from miRBase by way of RNAcentral. Lineage: Eukaryota; Metazoa; Chordata; Ascidiacea; Phlebobranchia; Cionidae.